This 203-nucleotide long non-coding RNA is filed under the name Mytilus galloprovincialis (Mediterranean mussel). Lineage: Eukaryota; Metazoa; Mollusca; Bivalvia; Mytilida; Mytilidae. The record is from RNAcentral.
GGUCACAGAUAUUUUAGAGAGAAAAUAUUUCUGACCCAGAUUUUUGCCUUAAAUACAUUCUGGCCUAUCUGGGAUGAAAACAAUACUUUAGCAUAAAAUGUAUAAAAUAACGGGCAUAUUUUUUUUAAUGCUUUAAUGCCAUAUUACUUUUGUAUGUCCAUAAAAUCAUUGAACAUGACUGACAGAAUCAUUGAUGAUUUUUC